GAGUUACACUCCCAACCCCUGUGACAUACCUUAAUGUUGCCUCGGCGGAUCAGCCCGCGCCCCGUAAAACGGGACGGCCCGCCAGAGGACCCAAACUCUAAUGUUUCUUAUUGUAACUUCUGAGUAAAACAAACAAAUAAAUCAAAACUUUCAACAACGGAUCUCUUGGUUCUGGCAUCGAUGAAGAACGCAGCAAAAUGCGAUAAGUAAUGUGAAUUGCAGAAUUCAGUGAAUCAUCGAAUCUUUGAACGCACAUUGCGCCCGCUGGUAUUCCGGCGGGCAUGCCUGUUCGAGCGUCAUUUCAACCCUCAAGCCCUCGGGUUUGGUGUUGGGGAUCGGCUCUGCCUUCUGGCGGUGCCGCCCCCGAAAUACAUUGGCGGUCUCGCUGCAGCCUCCAUUGCGUAGUAGCUAACACCUCGCAACUGGAACGCGGCGCGGCCAUGCCGUAAAACCCCAACUUCUGAAUGUUGACCUCGGAUCAGGUAGGAAUACCCGCUGAACUUAAGCAUAUCAAUAAGCGGAGGAAAAGAAACCAACAGGGAUUGCCCUAGUAACGGCGAGUGAAGCGGCAACAGCUCAAAUUUGAAAUCUGGCUUUCGGGCCCGAGUUGUAAUUUGUAGAGGAUACUUUUGAUGCGGUGCCUUCCGAGUUCCCUGGAACGGGACGCCAUAGAGGGUGAGAGCCCCGUCUGGUUGGAUGCCAAAUCUCUGUAAAGUUCCUUCGACGAGUCGAGUAGUUUGGGAAUGCUGCUCUAAAUGGGAGGUAUAUGUCUUCUAAAGCUAAAUAUUGGCCAGAGACCGAUAGCGCACAAGUAGAGUGAUCGAAAGAUGAAAAGCACUUUGAAAAGAGAGUUAAAAAGUACGUGAAAUUGUUGAAAGGGAAGCGUUUAUGACCAGACUUGGACUUGGUUAAUCAUCUGGGGUUCUCCCCAGUGCACUUUUCCAGUUCAGGCCAGCAUCAGUUUUCGCCGGGGGAUAAAGGCUUCGGGAAUGUAGCUCUCUUCGGGGAGUGUUAUAGCCCGUUGUGUAAUACCCUGGUGGAGACUGAGGUUCGCGCUCUGCAAGGAUGCUGGA
RNAcentral lists this ribosomal RNA (1073 nucleotides) under Fusarium tricinctum. RNAcentral's name for it is "eukaryotic LSU rRNA". The stretch from base 469 to 1073 matches the Rfam family "Eukaryotic large subunit ribosomal RNA", at positions 1 to 630 of the family's 3401-position model. Lineage: Eukaryota; Fungi; Ascomycota; Sordariomycetes; Hypocreales; Nectriaceae. The record is from RNAcentral.